AGAAAGCAGAUCAAACUGAGAUUAAAGGAAGGACUUGGGCACGUGCUCAGGCCCACCUCAGUCAAAAAAAAGCAUGAGGACAAGGAGGAAGUCAGGUGUCAGGGGUCAUAAAGCCUCAAGAGCCACCAAAGAAUCAUGAAAACAAGAGCAGCAAACACAAAGGGACAUCGUGGAAAAACCCAGCCAGCUGCUUCAUGUCACAGAGAAGCCUUCACAGUCUGUUACCAGUCGAAUGGCAUGUUUCAAAUUUGACCAGCUUCAUUCUCAAGUGUUGGAAGGCCACAGGUGGCUACGGCCUUGGACAGCACAGGCAUAGAGGCAUCUUGUUGAUACUCCAGAGACUUCAAAUUGUUCGAAGAGAGAAUGCUUUUCAUGCAGACGCCCACUGCCAACUAAACAAACAAAGAAAGGGCUUCCCUGGUGGCUCAGUGAUAAAGAAUCCACCUGCCAAUGCAGGAGACACAGGUUCAACCCCUGGUCUGGGAAGAUCCCACUUACUGCGGAGCAACUAAGCCCUUUGCCACAACUUCUGAGCCUGUGCUCUGGAGCCCGGGAGCCGCGACUCCUGGGCCCAUGAGCCCCAGCUAAUGGAGCCUGCAUGCCGUAGGCCUGUGCUCCUCAAUGAGAGGCCCCACCGCAGUGAGAAGCCUAUACAAUGCAACUCAAGAGGAGCCCCUGCUCGCCACAAAUAGAGAAGACCCCGAGCAGCAAGGAAGACCC
Bos taurus (domestic cattle) is the source of this 720-nucleotide long non-coding RNA. The record is from Ensembl. NCBI's taxonomy places the organism in Eukaryota, Metazoa, Chordata, Mammalia, Artiodactyla, Bovidae.